UUGGAUGUUGGGUCUUAAGAGGUCAGUAAUGAAGCUAACGCGUGAAGUUGACCCCCUGGGAGUAGGGCCGCAAGGUUGAAACUCAAAGGAAUUGACGGGGGCCCGCACAAGCCGGUGGAUGAGUGGUUAAUUCGAUGCAACGCGAAAAACCUUACCCCCCUUUGACAUGGCAGGAACUUACCAGGGAUGGUUAGGUGCUGGAAAGAGAACCUGCCCACCGCCACUGCAUGGCUGUCGACAAAUCGUGUCGUGAGAUGUAGGGUGCGUCCCGCACCGAGCGCAGCCCUUGCCAUUAGUUGCUACAUUCAGUUGAGCACUUUAAUGGGACUGCCGGUGACAAACCGGAGGAAGGUGGGGAUGAAGUCAAGUCCUCAUGGCCCUUAUAGGUGGGGCUACACACGUCAUACAAUGGCUGGUACAAAAGGUUGCCAACCCGCGAGGGCGACCUAACCCCAUAAAGCCAGUCGUAGUCCGGAUCGCAGUCUGCAACUGGAAUGCGUGAAGUCGGAAUCGCUAGUAUAAAGGAUCAGAAUGUCACGGUGAAUACGUUCCCGGGUCCUCCCCCCUCCCCCGUCACCCCAUGGGUCACGUCUCCCCGCCCCGCCCUUCUCCCCCU
This 616-nucleotide ribosomal RNA is filed under the name Pseudacidovorax sp. SS58. RNAcentral describes it as "bacterial SSU rRNA". It matches the Rfam family "Bacterial small subunit ribosomal RNA", at positions 816 to 1441 of the family's 1533-position model. Lineage: Bacteria; Pseudomonadati; Pseudomonadota; Betaproteobacteria; Burkholderiales; Comamonadaceae. The record is from RNAcentral.